RNAcentral lists this ribosomal RNA (447 nucleotides) under uncultured bacterium. Its description in RNAcentral is "partial 16S ribosomal RNA". It matches the Rfam family "Bacterial small subunit ribosomal RNA", at positions 29 to 523 of the family's 1533-position model. The record is from RNAcentral.
AACGAACGCUGGCGGCAGGCCUAACACAUGCAAGUCGAGCGCCCAGCAAUGGGAGCGGCAGACGGGUGAGUAACGUGUGGGGAUGUGCCCAAUGGUGCGGAAUAACCCAGGGAAACUUGGAUUAAUACCGCAUGUGCCCUUCGGGGGAAAGAUUUAUCGCCAUUGGAUCAACCCGCGUCUGAUUAGCUAGUUGGUGAGGUAAAGGCUCACCAAGGCGACGAUCAGUAGCUGGUCUGAGAGGAUGAUCAGCCACACUGGGACUGAGACACGGCCCAGACUCCUACGGGAGGCAGCAGUGGGGAAUAUUGGACAAUGGGCGCAAGCCUGAUCCAGCCAUGCCGCGUGAGUGAUGAAGGCCUUAGGGUUGUAAAGCUCUUUCGCCGGUGAAGAUAAUGACGGUAACCGGAGAAGAAGCCCCGGCUAACUUCGUGCCAGCCGCCGCCGUAA